GUCCACGCCGUAAACGAUGUCAACUAGCCGUCGGUGACCUUAGUGUCAUUGGUGGCGCAGCUAACGCGAUAAGUUGACCGCCUGGGGAGUACGGUCGCAAGAUUAAAACUCAAAUGAAUUGACGGGGGCCCGCACAAGCGGUGGAGCAUGUGGUUUAAUUCGACGCAACGCGAAGAACCUUACCAGGUCUUGACAUCCAGAGAAGUCGCUAGAGAUAGCUUCGUGCCUUCGGGAACUCUGAGACAGGUGCUGCAUGGCUGUCGU
This 264-nucleotide ribosomal RNA is filed under the name uncultured bacterium. Its description in RNAcentral is "partial 16S ribosomal RNA". It matches the Rfam family "Bacterial small subunit ribosomal RNA", at positions 793 to 1055 of the family's 1533-position model. The record is from RNAcentral.